RNAcentral lists this ribosomal RNA (452 nucleotides) under uncultured Synechococcus sp. Its description in RNAcentral is "bacterial SSU rRNA". It matches the Rfam family "Bacterial small subunit ribosomal RNA", at positions 8 to 507 of the family's 1533-position model. The record is from RNAcentral. Lineage: Bacteria; Bacillati; Cyanobacteriota; Cyanophyceae; Synechococcales; Synechococcaceae.
AGGCUUUGAUCCUGGCUCAGGAUGAACGCUGGCGGCGUGCUUAACACAUGCAAGUCGAACGAACCUUCGGGUUAGUGGCGGACGGGUGAGUAACGCGUGAGAAUCUGCCCUCAGGAGGGGGAUAACGGCUGGAAACGGCCGCUAAUACCCCAUAUGCCGAGAGGUGAAACGAAUUUCGCCUGAGGAUGAGCUCGCGUCUGAUUAGCUAGUUGGUGGGGUAAAGGCCUACCAAGGCGACGAUCAGUAGCUGGUCUGAGAGGAUGAUCAGCCACACUGGGACUGAGACACGGCCCAGACUCCUACGGGAGGCAGCAGUGGGGAAUUUUCCGCAAUGGGCGAAAGCCUGACGGAGCAACGCCGCGUGAGGGAUGAAGGCCUCUGGGCUGUAAACCUCUUUUCUCAAGGAAGAAGAUCUGACGGUACGUGAGGAAUAAGCCACGGGUAUAUCCGAU